UACGACUACAUAUCAGGCAUAUCAAUAAGCGGAGGAAAAGAAACUAACAAGGAUUCCCUUAGUAACGGCGAGUGAAGCGGGAAGAGCUCAAAUUUGAAAUCUUCAAGGUUUUACCUUGACGAAUUGUAGUUUAAAGAAGUGUUUUCUGUUGAAGUUUCGGUAAAAGUUCUUUGGAAUAGGACAUCAUAGAGGGUGAGAAUCCCGUAUUUGACCGUUAUUUUCAGCUGUGUGAUACACUUUCAAAGAGUCGGAUUGUUUGGGAAUGCAGUCCAAAAUGGGUGGUAAAUUUCAUCUAAAGCUAAAUAUUGGCGAGAGACCGAUAGCGAACAAGUACCGUGAGGGAAAGAUGAAAAGAACUUUGAAAAGAGAGUUAAACAGUACGUGAAAUUGUCAAAAGGGAAGCGUUUGACACCAGUGUUGUUUUCUCGAAAAUCAAUUAAAAAAGGAUUGUGAUUUUGUGUUGUAUUGACCUUAUCAAGCUUUCUUCACUUUUUUCUUGUCUUUUUUAAUGCACUUUUCGUUUAACAAGUCAACAUCAAUUUCUUUUGUUGUAAAAGAGUCAUUGGAAGGUGGCUUUCACUUCGGUGAAAGUGUUUAUAGCCUUUGGCUUCUGCAAUCGGAGAGAUUGAGGUCUGCAGCGUAGAUCCUUCGGGGUUAGAUACGUAGAUGCUAAGUUAUAGUUUUUCAUAGACAACUUGUUGACUAUGAUUAAUCAUGUAGCUUACUCGUUUGCGCUAUUUUACCUACGCUUAGGAUGUUGACGCGCGUGUGUGCGUG
RNAcentral lists this ribosomal RNA (777 nucleotides) under uncultured Neocallimastigales. RNAcentral's name for it is "partial large subunit ribosomal RNA". It matches the Rfam family "Eukaryotic large subunit ribosomal RNA", at positions 24 to 639 of the family's 3401-position model. The record is from RNAcentral. Lineage: Eukaryota; Fungi; Neocallimastigomycota; Neocallimastigomycetes; Neocallimastigales.